This 3241-nucleotide long non-coding RNA is filed under the name Homo sapiens (human). RNAcentral describes it as "HSALNT0300854". The record is from RNAcentral. Lineage: Eukaryota; Metazoa; Chordata; Mammalia; Primates; Hominidae.
CAGAAAAGUUUUCCAAGAAGAUGAAGCAGAUAGAAAACUGGAUGUAUUUGAACACUGGGGAAAAGUUUAGGGGUGAAUUAGUCAUAAUAACACAGGCAACAAGGAAAAUAAAAGUAAACAACACAUCCACUGAAUCUAGGGAGAAGGAAAUUUAUGCAAGAUAGGAAAAGUAAUUAUACCUUGCUGCAUGGCUCAAUUGUAAAUAGCAUUUACAUAACCUUAGUAGACUGGUCUAAGCAACAUAAAAUUGUAACUUUAUCGGGGGGUUAGAAGUCUGGAGGCAUGCAUGUGUAUAGUAAUGUGGGAGGAAGAAAGAGAGUUAAGUCUGUAUGUCCCAUCUUGGGAAGUCAAUAGAUUAUGCCUAAAACUGAUAAAUCAAGAAUGGCUAUUUGUAAGCAUUUCAUAUAUAUAGAGAGAUUAAUACCAAGAAAAAAUAGCUACAAGUGUCAACAGUGCAUAACACUGAAGAAUAAAAAUAUUGAAAGGAUAUCAGCAGGGGCCUUAUAUUUUAUAAUAAGCCACAUAGAUUUAUUUUGCUGUUUAAAUUCUAUGUCUGUAUAAAAUACAUUAAAACAAAAAACAUACAUUUUAAAAAGUUAGAUCCACACUCUUUAUAAAAAUAUUCAGAUGUAUUAGAAAUAGAGCUAUAACAUUAGAAUAAAGUUCAAUCAGAGUGAAGCAGAAAACAGAUAGGAGUGAGGGGAUUCUGCUGCUCAAAGCUACAGAAGAAAAUGAAGCGAAAAACAUCUGUCUAAUAAAAAGCUAAAACUAAAUAAAAAUCUGAAACUUUAUCAGUUAUGAAACUAAGUUUUAUUAUAAAGUAGCUCAUUCAAAUUAUGAAAACUAUCAAGACCUUGGGAGAUGAAUUUUAAAAAUAUUAUAUGACAAACUAGAAUGGGCUAAUUGUUAAAAAGAUAAAAUUUUCUGUUAAGUGAAAAAAGGAAGAUUUACCUUUAUAUGUAGCCAACUUAAAAAUCGUAACUCUAAAUAUUCUUGGAAUUAUGAUAAGCUUGUGUUGUAUAUGUAGACAUUGCCAGUCUCAAUGCAAAAUUUUAUGUCUAUUUGAGAAGAAUGAGAUAAUUAACAGCACUAAACAUGUGGAAUCUUCAAACUCUAUGACAAAGUUUCAGAGAUCUGAGAAUUUAUCCUAAGUAAAUAAUCAAGCAAAGAAAAAAAUCAUGCAUAGUAAGAUAAAGGUGAGAUAAAUUAUAAUUCCUUACCCUAUAGAGUGGCAACCUAAUUAUAAGAACCAUGCCACAACUCGAUCAGAUUGUUAUUAUACAAUAAAUAUCAAAAUAUAUAAGACAAUUCUGUAGUUGUGAUUUUUAUAUAAAAUGCAAAUGCAUAUGGACACAAUUGUCAAAAUUCAUAAAUUUGAAUGAAUGACUUUAGGGUGCUGGCCUGUGAAAUGACAUUUUGUAUCUUAAUUUUUUUUUUAAUGUUACAAAACAGGUUUGAAGUUUAAGUGUUAUCUGCAACACUUGCUGGUCAGUUUAGAAAAAGUACAUAUAUUUUAGAGCCUUAUUUUUUCCAUUUGAGAAUAAUUUUUAAAAAAUAACGUUUGCUCACCUAUCCCUGAGCAUUUUCCUGAGAAUCCAAUGCUAUAAUGUGUAUGAAAGCACUUGGUAAAUGCAAAGCACUUUAUUAACAGAUGAAGUUAUUGUUAUCAUUUUCAUCAGUAAACCAUUGAGAACAAUGCUUUGGCAGGAUUUUUUCUUCUCUCAACCACAGACAGAGCUUUAUCUCCCUGCCUCCAGAUGUGACACAUUAGAAGUUACUUGAGCUCAAGGUCAUUUUUUAACUUUGGCUCCUUAGAGAAGCAAUGGAAUAAACCAAAGAUCAAUGUGAAUGUUUUCCAAUAAAAUCAUCCAAAAGGAAUACCCAGGGAGGGAUGGAAAGCAUUCCAAGGACCCCACAGGAAGAACAAGUUUUUGAUAGCUCUGGACUGCUCUAAUAAGAUUGCCUUAGCCAUUGUCCAGCUUUCCAUUGGGAAAGACUUUCCUUGGUCAACUCCUAUUACAUUUCAAUGUUUCCUUGGUCAACUGCUAUUACAUUUCAGUGUCUUUGAGGGGCUCAAUCAGAGGGCCUCAAUCAAAUAACUUAAACUUAAAAUAUUUAGGCCCAAUCAUUACUACAGACCAGGAUCAAAUUGGAGUUCUUUUUACAUAAUUAAAAAUAUGUAUCAAUAAUUUUUCAACUUGAGAACCUCCCUGAAUUCAACAAUUAAAGUUUAGAGAUAACUGUUUGGGAAUUCUAGUUUGAUCUGUUUAUAGAAAUUAAAUACAGGAAGGCCAGAGACUACCUCAGUUGCCAUUCUCAUGGUUUGUUGUGUCAGGAACAUAAAAAGUGUGGGCAAGGGAUAGGUUGGCUACCCAAGAUCUUGUGGCGUGGCUGCUGCAGCUGUUUUUCUUGGCCUGCUUAGAAGUUAUUUUUUCUAAUUGGGUCUCUCAUGGAAUUGAGAGUUCCUCCAUUGUUUAUAGCUGCACCCAUAUACUUGUCGCAGAUACACAAGGCGCUAUGGAUAAGAAUGAGUUAGAUCCUGACUGUGCAUGCACAUGCACACACACACACACACACACCACACAUAUACAGACACAGACAGAACAUGCCUGUUUCCAUUUAAAUUUGCUUUUUGGAUGAAAUCGUUUACAUAAGUAGGACCAUAGGUUAAGUGUGUCCAUGUUGAAUGAUUUGGCAAAUGAAUCUGGCCUGACAAGCAUUUUUGAUAUCAGAGGGCCUGAACAGCAUCAUUUUCAGGGGUCAGGCCCUACUGGGUCUGGCUCAGAGUUCUCUGCCAGUUUUGAGGGUGUGGCGCGGAGAGUCUGAUGUUUGCUUUAAUGAAUGUGCGAAGUCUCUUAAACAGAUUGUCUGCCUAGAAAAACAUUUCAGAUGCUUCUCAGUCCUGAACUUCGGCUUCAGCCAUGACCAAAGAAAUAUUAGGCUAGUUUAAAACCUUUUCCAAUCAUUCCAUAAAAAUUGUGGUUUCCCUCCUCUAUCAAAUCAGCUAAUCUCAUUUAACUGUGACCACUGCUUAAAUGCAAUUAAAUUAGAGUCAGAAAAUUGUGUCUUUCCUUGACCAGAACCUAAAAUAAGGUGCACAUACCAAUGAACGUAGCUCACAGAAGGCUAAGGUCUAAGUUUACAAGCUCCACAAGGACAGGGGCUUUGUUCAUCUUGUUCCCUGUUAUAUCCCCAGCCCCUGUAACAGGGUCUUCAUUACUGCCUAGAGUAAGAGUUCAUA